This 263-nucleotide unclassified non-coding RNA is filed under the name plant metagenome. RNAcentral's name for it is "partial contains small subunit ribosomal RNA, internal transcribed spacer 1, and 5.8S ribosomal RNA". The record is from RNAcentral.
UUUCCGUAGGUGAACCUGCGGAAGGAUCAUUAUUGUAUAACCGAGGCGCGAGGGCUGUCGCUGACUCGAAAGGUCGUGCACGCCCGAGUGCCCUCACACACAUCCAUCUCACCCCUAUGUGCACCACCGCGUGGGUCCCCCUUUGGCUUGUUCGGAGGGGGGCUUACGUUUUCACACAAACUUUGUAUGCAGUGUAGAAUGUAUUUUUUGUUUUUGCGAUCACGCAAUCAAUACAACUUUCAACAACGGAUCUCUUGGCUCUC